This 254-nucleotide ribosomal RNA is filed under the name uncultured bacterium. RNAcentral describes it as "partial 16S ribosomal RNA". It matches the Rfam family "Bacterial small subunit ribosomal RNA", at positions 524 to 776 of the family's 1533-position model. The record is from RNAcentral.
UACGAAGGGGGCUAGCGUUGCUCGGAAUCACUGGGCGUAAAGCGCACGUAGGCGGACUCUUAAGUCGGUGGUGAAAUCCUGGAGCUCAACUCCAGAACUGCCUCCGAUACUGAGAGUCUUCGAGUCCGGGAGAGGUGAGUGGAACUGCGAGUGUAGAGGUGAAAUUCGUAGAUAUUCGCAAGAACACCAGUGGCGAAGGCGGCUCACUGGCCCGGUACUGACGCUGAGGUGCGAAAGCGUGGGGAGCAAACAGG